UUGCCACUGACUUCCCAUUUUCUGUUGCUGAAAUCAAGUGCAACUUCAAUUUUUUGAAGCUAAAACAUGACAGAUAAUUGAAAUGGUUACUGUUGAAUGAACCACACUCUAUUUGUCUUGAGAUUCUGUCAAGAUUCGGGAAUGUGGCAAAAAUAUGUAAAAAG
Hibiscus syriacus is the source of this 164-nucleotide long non-coding RNA. RefSeq lists it as uncharacterized. NCBI's taxonomy places the organism in Eukaryota, Viridiplantae, Streptophyta, Magnoliopsida, Malvales, Malvaceae. The transcript is spliced from 2 exons. The record is from RefSeq and is a predicted model, not a curated record.